GCUUCCUCUAAUUCAGAAGCUCAUUGGGAUCAUAACUACGGCUCGCCCCAUCGCAGGGCUCCACCUGUGUCCUCACACAGUUACAGAGCUCUGUUUGUGCCCUCACCCAGUCACAGAGCUCUGUGUGUGCCCUCACCCAAUAAGAGCACUCCAUCUGUGCCCUCACCCAAUCAGAGCACUCCAUCUGUGCCCUCACCCAAUCAGAGCACUCCAUCUGUGCCCUCACCCAAUCAGAGCACUCCGUCUGUGCCCAAUCGGAGAAGAAAGAAGCGUGGCAGGGCUGAGGGCGCAGAGGAGACAUGUCCAGAGGAGGUGUGUCCAGAGGAGCCGAGUCCAGAAGGGAAGAGGAGGAGGAAGCCGACCAUGAAGGCACAGGCUCUUCAGCAGGACCAGGCCAAACGGAAAAAACAGAAGCUGAGUCGAUCUGAUAAAAAACAAGAAACAAAACCUCGGAAAAGAAGAAUCUCCUUACCUGAUACAGCCUUGCCUCCUACAUCUUUACCUCCUACAUCCUUACCUCCUACAUCCUUACCUCCUACAUCCUUACCUCCGACAUCCUUACCUCCUACAUCCUUACCCCCUACAUCCUUACCCCCUACAUCCUUACCCCUACAUCUUUACCUCCUACAUCCUUACCUCCUACAUCCUUACCUCCUACAUCCUUACCUCCUACAUCCUUACCUCCGACAUCCUUACCUCCUACAUCCUUACCCCCUACAUCCUUACCCCCUACAUCCUUACCUCCUACAUCCUUACCUCCUACAUCCUUACCCCCUACAUCCUUACCCCCUACAUCCUUACCCGCUACAUCCUUACCCGCUACAUCCUUACCCGCUACAUCCUUACCCCUACAUCCUUACCUCCUACAUCCUUACCCCCUACAUCCUUACCCCCUACAUCCUUACCCGCUACAUCCUUACCCGCUACAUCCUUACCCGCUACAUCCUUACCCCUACAUCCUUACCCCCUACAUCCUUACCCCCUACAUCCUUACCCCUACAUCCUUACCCCCUACAUCCUUACCUCCUACAUCCUUACCUCCUACAUCCUUACCCCCUACAUCCUUACCCCCUACAUCCUUACCCGCUACAUCCUUUACCUCCUACAUCCCUACCUCCUGCAUCCUUACCCCUACAUCCUUACCCCCUACAUCCUUACCCCCUACAUCCUUACCUCCUACAUCCUUACCUCCUACAUCCUUACCCCCUACAUCCUUACCCCCUACAUCCUUACCCCUACAUCCUUACCCCUACAUCCUUACCUCCUACAUCCCUACCUCCUGCAUCCUUACCUCCUACAUCUUUACCUCCUACAUCCUUGCCUCCUACAUCCUUACCCCCUACAUCCUUACCCCCUACAUCUUUACCUCCUACAUCCCUACCUGCUACAUCCUUACCCCCUACAUCCUUACCUCCUAUCUCCUCACUCCCUAUGCUAAUUUUCAGACAUCUUCCCUCUAGUCCAUCCUUAAACCACCCCCUUGUGUCCUUCCCUCCUCAGUUUGCUUCCUUUGUGUGUCCUACGUCCUUGCCUCUUAACCCUGUGUCCACUCUGUCUGUCCCGCCCUCUAAGGCCCCCGUGCCUCCUUCCUUUAUUCCCUCGUCUCCUGUGUUGACUCCUCCACUGACCCGCCGGUUCCCCCCUCCUCAUCCUGAAGCCCCACCCGCAGAGCUCUGCGAUUGGCUGGGUGCAGGGCAGGAGGGGCAGUGGGCGGUCUCUCGUUGGCUGAGUGGCGAGGGGGGCGUGUCCGCGGAGACGGUGAAGCUGCCAUACUUGCCGCCGUUCACGUGUAACCUCAAGACGCUGAGCCUGCUGCUGCAGAGGAAAGACGAGCUGCGACGGGACGCAGAGUGGUUACUACGGAAACCGACCACAGCGCAGCGGGGCGGAGCCAGGACGCACAUUAAAACUGAAGCACAAGCUGGAGAAACGAGAGCUGAGGCGCAGGCCCAGACGACAUCGGCCAAUGAGAGCGCCCCAAGUCAAACGGGAGAAGAGCUGAGAGCCAAUCAGGAUGGAGAGACGACAACACACGAAGCGUCCACUGAAACUAACAGGCCGGCCAAUCAGGGCUCAGCAGACGGGUCAGAGCCGUCGUCCAAUCAGAAGCCGCCAGAGGAGGCGGAGCUUACAGAGGCUGUUCGGCGAAUCGUGAGGGAGCGCUUUGGCUCAAACCCCGCCCACCAGCUGCUCUCAGCGCGUUUCCUGUCAAUCUUCACUCUGCCCGCCCUCCUGGCCUCGCUGCAGCCAAUCACAGGCCAGGAGGAGGGGGCGGAACUGCCAAUCACAGUGCAGGAGGAGGACAAAAGGGGCGGAGUUUGAUAAAUAUUAACUUUCUGUAAAACUCCUGAAUGAAUGUGACAGCUCAGUAUAAAUAUUAGUUUAACAUGGAAAUGAUAUUUAUGAAGACACUUGGCCUGAGGGGGGCGCUGUGUGGUCACUGUAGGGCCGUGGCAACAGAUUCAACUGAACACAUCUGAAAGUCUGUAAAAUAACUUCAGCUUUAUGCAUUUAUACAGGGCUUUUUCACCAUUUUCAGGAACACAGUUUUUCUACAUCCAAUAAAAGAAAUGAAACUCAUUUUGAUUAUAGUCAAACGGCAGGUCCGGUUGCUGCAGUUGAGAACCGUUCUCGUAGGGUCCACAGUGUGAACUGACACGUGUAUAAUGUAAAUAAUAUUUGUUCAAAUAAAGUAUUUUAUUAUUUUAUACAUGACUUAUUUUAUUCAGGGAGGCAUCUGAGAGGCCUUUCAGGUGUACAGUUUGUAGACCAAAGGAGAGGCCUUUCAGGUGUACAGUUUGUAGACCAAAGGAGAGGCCUUUCAGGUGCAUAGUUUGUAGACCAAAGGAGAGGCCUUUCAGGUGUACAGUUUGUAGACCAAAGGAGAGGCCUUUCAGGUGCAUAGUUUGUAGACCAAAGGAGAGGCCUUUCAGUAGCUCAGUUUGUAGACCAAAGGAGAGGCCUUUCAGGUGCACAGUUUGUAGACCAAAGGAGAGGCCUUUCAGGUGUACAGUUUGUAGACCAAAGGAGAGGCCUUUCAGGUGUACAGUUUGUAGACCAAAGGAGAGGCCUUUCAGGUGCAUAGUUUGUAGACCAAAGGAGAGGCCUUUCAGGUGCACAGUUUGUAGACCAAAGGAGAGGCCUUUCAGGUGUACAGUUUGUAGACCAAAGGAGAGGCCUUUCAGGUGCAUAGUUUGUAGACCAAAGGAGAGGCCUUUCAGUAGCUCAGUUUGUAGACCAAAGGAGAGGCCUUUCAGGUGCACAGUUUGUAGACCAAAGGAGAGGCCUUUCAGGUGAACAGUUUGUAGACCAAAGGAGAGGCCUUUCAGUAGCUCAGUUUGUAGACCAAAGGAGAGGCCUUUCAGUAGCUCAGUUUGUAGACCAAAGGAGAGGCCUUUCAGUAGCUCAGUUUGUAGACCAAAGGAGAGGCCUUUCAGGUGCACAGUUUGUAGACCAAAGGAGAGGCCUUUCAGUAGCUCAGUUUGUAGACCAAAGGAGAGGCCUUUCAGUAGCUCAGUUUGUAGACCAAAGGAGAGGCCUUUCAGUAGCUCAGUUUGUAGACCAAAGGAGAGGCCUUUCAGUAGCUCAGUUUGUAGACCAAAGGAGAGGCCUUUCAGGUGCACAGUUUGUAGACCAAAGGAGAGGCCUUUCAGGUGUACAGUUUGUAGACCAAAGGAGAGGCCUUUCAGUAGCUCAGUUUGUAGACCAAAGGAGAGGCCUUUCAGUAGCUCAGUUUGUAGACCAAAGGAGAGGCCUUUCAGUAGCUCAGUUUGUAGACCAAAGGAGAGGCCUUUCAGGUGCACAGUUUGUAGACCAAAGGAGAGGCCUUUCAGUAGCUCAGUUUGUAGACCAAAGGAGAGGCCUUUCAGGUGAUCAGUUUGUAGACCAAAGGAGAGGCCUUUCAGGUGUACAGUUUGUAGACCAAAGGAGAGGCCUUUCAGGUGUACAGU
Molecule: long non-coding RNA, 3950 nt
Organism: Neogobius melanostomus (round goby)
Lineage: Eukaryota; Metazoa; Chordata; Actinopteri; Gobiiformes; Gobiidae
Source: Ensembl